CAACGGUUACCGGAUCCUUGAAGCCCUCUACCCCUACAACUGGGAGGCUUUGGACAAGGCCUACCACAGUGGAUACAGUGAUGGCCUUCACUUUCUACAAACCAGUGACCUGGUCCCAUGUCUGCCUCUUCUGAACACUCCAUCAGAGCAUCAGUCCUUUCCUCCUGACGGAUGGACAGAUCUGGAAACAGACUGGGAGGAGGAGAAGGAGGUGGAAGAAGAAGAGGAACAAAUAGAGAGGCAGGAAAAGAUGAAGAGAGAGGAGCAAACGAAGGAGGAGGAGGAGGAGGAAGAAGAAGAGGAACAAAUAGAGAGGCAGGAAAAGAUGAAGAGAGAGGAGCAAAUGAAGGAGG
Molecule: long non-coding RNA, 353 nt
Organism: Oncorhynchus tshawytscha (Chinook salmon)
Lineage: Eukaryota; Metazoa; Chordata; Actinopteri; Salmoniformes; Salmonidae
Source: Ensembl